UGGCUCAGUUGGUAGAGCAUGGUGUUUGCAACGCCAGGGUUGUGGAUUCGAUUCCCAU
Molecule: transfer RNA, 58 nt
Filed under: Salmo trutta (river trout)
Lineage: Eukaryota; Metazoa; Chordata; Actinopteri; Salmoniformes; Salmonidae
Rfam family: tRNA
About the family: Transfer RNA (tRNA) molecules are approximately 80 nucleotides in length. Their secondary structure includes four short double-helical elements and three loops (D, anti-codon, and T loops).
Source: Rfam by way of RNAcentral